RNAcentral lists this ribosomal RNA (399 nucleotides) under uncultured bacterium. RNAcentral's name for it is "bacterial SSU rRNA". It matches the Rfam family "Bacterial small subunit ribosomal RNA", at positions 29 to 414 of the family's 1533-position model. The record is from RNAcentral.
AAUCAACGCUGGCGGCGUGCCUAACACAUGCAAGUCGAACGCGAAAGUCCCGCAAGGGAUUAGUAGAGUGGCAAACGGGUGAGUAACACGUGGGUGACCUGCCUUCGAGUGGGGGAUAACGUCCCGAAAGGGACGCUAAUACCGCAUAACAUCCUGCCUUUUAAGAGGUGGAGACCAAAGCUGGGGACCGUAAGGCCUGGCGCUGGAAGAGGGGCCCGCGUCUGAUUAGCUAGUUGGUGAGGUAACGGCUCACCAAGGCAACGAUCAGUAUCCGGCCUGAGAGGGCGGACGGACACACUGGGACUGAGACACGGCCCAGACUCCUACGGGAGGCAGCAGUGGGGAAUUGUUCGCAAUGGGCGCAAGCCUGACGACGCAACGCCGCGUGGAGGAUGAAGA